AAUGACUCUCGGCAACGGAUAUYUCGGCUCUUACAUCGAUGAAGAACGUAGCAAAAUGCGAUACUUGGUGUGAAUUGCAAAAUCCCGUGAACCAUCGAGUCUUUGAACGCAAGUUGCGCCCGAAUCCAUCUGGUUGAGGGCACGUCUGCCUGGGUGUCACGUA
RNAcentral lists this ribosomal RNA (163 nucleotides) under Saxifraga oppositifolia. RNAcentral describes it as "5.8S ribosomal RNA". It matches the Rfam family "5.8S ribosomal RNA". Rfam says of the family: 5.8S ribosomal RNA (5.8S rRNA) is a component of the large subunit of the eukaryotic ribosome. It is transcribed by RNA polymerase I as part of the 45S precursor that also contains 18S and 28S rRNA. Functionally, it is thought that 5.8S rRNA may be involved in ribosome translocation. Lineage: Eukaryota; Viridiplantae; Streptophyta; Magnoliopsida; Saxifragales; Saxifragaceae. The record is from RNAcentral.